UGAAAAGUGAGUAUUGAAAACCUGGAUAUUCCAUCGGGCUUAGGUUUCAAACAAAAACUAAUUGGUGCUUUCCUUUUUUUGUGGAAGCAUGAUCUAAUAGAGAAUGCUCAUCCACAUGUUGAACUGUUAUUCAUGCUUGAUUCUAAUGGCGCAAAAUAAAACUUGGCUUACUAUUACAAGUGGAACUAAAGGGUCCAUCAUGGUUCAAUGGUACAAGGCGUCUUCCUCAGAAUUUACAAAUGAUACGAGCUUGAAGCCCUUACUUCAUCAAAAGUUUCUAAGGUUAUCAGUGAAGCCCUUACUUCACUGAUGUCUGAAUAUCUGCUUGUGCUUCUCAAUUGCAUUUCCUUUAUGCUCAGUCUCAAUCAUUGCAAAAUAAAAAUUAGCUUACCUGAUCCAACUGACAGUAAAUGUAAAUCAGUCAGUAUUGAAAACAAAAAUUAGUUUGUUAGUAACAAUUCAUUUAGCAACAACAUAUAUUUAUCCUGCUACAGCUAGAUCUGUAAUCAUAUUUGGGUGACUGCUACAGUUAAUACUCCCUUCAUAUUUCCUAUUUAUUCAUCUGCCUUAACCCUUCAUAUUUCCUAUUUAUUCAUCUGGGAUGUGCGGUCGUGGAAUAUUAUUUUUUUGAUUUCAUACUUGAGAUCACAUUUAUCCUGAUAUAGUAUUUUUGAAUUGAUACUAAAGAGCCUCACUUGUAUGCAUUCUCAUUUAAGAACGGGAGACUGGAGGUUACUGAGAUCUUCAACUUUUCCCAAGAUGAUUUGUUAACUGAAGACAUGAUGAUACUUGACACACAUGGUGAAGUUUUCAUUUGGAUUGGUCAGUAUGUGGAAUCAAAAGAGAAACAGAAGGCAUUUGACAUUGGCCAGGUAUCAACUGAAGCCCUGACUUUAUUCAAGUAGUUCCUGUUACCGGUGCUGGAGGCCUAUGAACUGCGCGGUCUGUGAACUGCGCGGUGCUGUGAACUGAAACGGUCUGUGAACUGCGCGGUGCUGGAGGCCUAUCACCGGUGGGAUG
Molecule: long non-coding RNA, 1020 nt
Organism: Zea mays
Lineage: Eukaryota; Viridiplantae; Streptophyta; Magnoliopsida; Poales; Poaceae
Exons: 3
Source: RefSeq, a predicted model, not a curated record